RNAcentral lists this ribosomal RNA (253 nucleotides) under uncultured bacterium. Its description in RNAcentral is "partial 16S ribosomal RNA". It matches the Rfam family "Bacterial small subunit ribosomal RNA", at positions 524 to 776 of the family's 1533-position model. The record is from RNAcentral.
UACGAAGGGGGCUAGCGUUGCUCGGAAUCACUGGGCGUAAAGGGUGCGUAGGCGGGUCUUUAAGUCAGGGGUGAAAUCCUGGAGCUCAACUCCAGAACUGCCUUUGAUACUGAAGAUCUUGAGUUCGGGAGAGGUGAGUGGAACUGCGAGUGUAGAGGUGAAAUUCGUAGAUAUUGGGAAGAACACCAGUGGCGAAGGCGGCUCACUGGCUCGUAUCUGACGCUCAGGCGCGAUAGCGUGGGGAUCAAACAGG